GACGAACCGUGCGAACGUUAUUCGGAAUCACUGGGCUUAAAGGGUGCGUAGGCGGGCUCGCCAGGUCAGGGGUGAAAUCCCACGGCCCAACCGUGGAAGUGCCUCUGAUACUGCGGGCCUCGAGGGGGAUAGGGCGUGCGGAACUUCCGGUGGAGCGGUGAAAUGCGUAGAUAUCGGAAGGAACACCGGUGGCGAAAGCGGCG
Molecule: ribosomal RNA, 203 nt
Filed under: uncultured bacterium
Lineage: Bacteria
Description: partial 16S ribosomal RNA
Rfam family: Bacterial small subunit ribosomal RNA
Source: RNAcentral